RNAcentral lists this long non-coding RNA (587 nucleotides) under Pan troglodytes (chimpanzee). Its description in RNAcentral is "lncRNA (ENSPTRG00000053137.1)". The record is from RNAcentral. Lineage: Eukaryota; Metazoa; Chordata; Mammalia; Primates; Hominidae.
GGACACCUGACAGGGCAGAAAAAGUAGAGAGGAUCUGGAGGGACAAAAAAUAAACAGUACAAGCUGGUAUUAGUUGUAAUCAGAAAAUGAGGUGUUAUUUAUAUAAAAAUGAACCUCAGCAGACUAGAAAUCAAGCAGCAUCAGUGAACUUAUUUUUACAGCCACGAUUCUGAGCUAACCCUAUGCUCAGCUUCAGGAAUGUGGAGAUGUUAUCAGACAUGGCCUGAGGCUCCCUGAAGAAGAGAGACAUGUAACCAACAACUAAAACACAGGAGCAGUCCAGGGAGAUGAUGCAGCUGCCUGGUUGCUGGUCACCAGGGCUGUUGGACACCUGUGUGGAGGACCUGGGAGAAGUCUUUUGCUCCACACUUGCUCCUUUCCUGCCAGGGUCCAUUAAAUCUCAGAGUUUUCUCCAGCUGGUGGUAGAAGGGGAAGUCAGGAUGAUUCCAAGCAAGAAGGAUCCCACCCUCAGUUGCUGGCUCUGAGGUGUGGCAGAAGUCCACAGGUGAGCCGCCGAAAGCAACCUCCAGUUGCUGAGAGCUGUUCCGGUCUGACAGUCAGUAAGGCAGCGGGGACUUCAAUCCUAC